This 207-nucleotide ribosomal RNA is filed under the name uncultured Methylobacterium sp. Its description in RNAcentral is "partial 16S ribosomal RNA". It matches the Rfam family "Bacterial small subunit ribosomal RNA", at positions 568 to 774 of the family's 1533-position model. The record is from RNAcentral. Lineage: Bacteria; Pseudomonadati; Pseudomonadota; Alphaproteobacteria; Hyphomicrobiales; Methylobacteriaceae.
CGCGUAGGCGGCUGAUUUAGUCGAGGGUGAAAGCCCGUGGCUCAACCACGGAAUGGCCUUCGAUACUGGUUGGCUUGAGACCGGAAGAGGACAGCGGAACUGCGAGUGUAGAGGUGAAAUUCGUAGAUAUUCGCAAGAACACCAGUGGCGAAGGCGGCUGUCUGGUCCGGUUCUGACGCUGAGGCGCGAAAGCGUGGGGAGCAAACA